GAGAUGGAUGGUGCCUUCGGGAACUUACAUACAGGUGCUGCAUGGCUGUCGUCAGGCUCGUGUCGUGAGAUGUGGUUAAGUCCCGCGACGAGCGCAACCCUUUUCCUUAUUUGCCAGCGGGUUAAGCCGGGAACUUUAAGGAUACUGCCAGUGACAAACUGGAGGAAGGCGGGGAGACGUCAAGUCAUCAUGGCCCUUGCGACCAGGGCUACACACGUGCUACAAUGGUCGGUACAAAGGGUUGCUACCUAGCGAUAGGAUGCUAAUCUCAAAAAGCCGAUCGUAGUCCGGAUUGGAGUCUGCAACUCGACUCCAUGAAGUCGGAAUCGCUAGUAAUCGCGGAUCAGAAUGCCGCGGUGAAUACGUUCCCGGGCCUU
RNAcentral lists this ribosomal RNA (377 nucleotides) under uncultured Acinetobacter sp. RNAcentral describes it as "bacterial SSU rRNA". It matches the Rfam family "Bacterial small subunit ribosomal RNA", at positions 1003 to 1382 of the family's 1533-position model. Lineage: Bacteria; Pseudomonadati; Pseudomonadota; Gammaproteobacteria; Moraxellales; Moraxellaceae. The record is from RNAcentral.